This 1811-nucleotide long non-coding RNA is filed under the name Homo sapiens (human). Its description in RNAcentral is "HSALNT0169212". The record is from RNAcentral. Lineage: Eukaryota; Metazoa; Chordata; Mammalia; Primates; Hominidae.
CAAAAUCUGAAAUCCUGGGUUUCUUUGGCCAGCAAAAUAAAUAUGACACAAAAGCCUAUUCAUGUACAUCAAAAUCAAGUCUGUGCCAAAACUCUACUUGCUUAACAUAAAGUCUGGCAGGGGAGAUGCAGAAAUCCCUUGCCUGAAGAUCAGAUGGAAAUUUCUAGUUUAAACUCCCAGUCAUUGUGAAGCCAACUUUCAAACUCACUUGGGGCUGGAGGGUAACACAAGAUCUCAAGUGUUUUCCAAAUCCAAGCAGGAUCCAAGCUGGGAGAUCCACCGUGGAAGAGAAGAACCACCAAACCUCCAGACUGGGCGGCUGUCCCAGGCUCUCAAGCACAGAGAAACACAGCGAAGCUGAAGUUGAAGAAGUAGCUACAGUUUCCGGGCCUCAAACAAUGGCAAUUAAAAACAAAAAAACUUUUUAUUUGAAAAUAAUUAUAGAUUCACAGGAAGUGGCAAAAACAGUGCAGACUGGCCCCGUGUACCCUUUGCCUAGUUUCCCCCGACGUUUACAUCUUACGUCACGAAAGUACAACAUCAAAACCAGGAAACUGACGUUGGGACAAUCCGCAGACCUUAUUCAGAUUUCAGCAAUGGCGUUUUAGUCACCCGAAAGGGCUCUCAAACACGAUAUGACCAGGAAUCCCAGCUGUGCUCUCCAGAAGGAUCCGCCACGCUUGCCAAUCCACACCACGGCGGUUCCGAAAGCUGCCUCCCCUCUGCCAUCCAUUCCUAAGGCAAGUGGGAAGAAACGUCACCUCCCGCUCCACAAUUUCUCAGGGAAGCCGAGGAGGCCAGCGUGACGGGGGAGCAGAGUGGACAUCCCAGGACACAGCUGCGCCUGCCUGCUCUUUCCCUGUGCUCUGGCGGCCUGUCCUGGGCCUUACACCAACGCGAUGAACAGGGGAAACGGGGUGCUGAGCCUCUGCGUGAAAGGGGGCUUGUUUAGUCUCCUACCUGCCCGCUUAGAAAAUGUUCUCAAAGGUCAGGCACGGUGGUUCAUGCCUGUAAUCCCAGCACUUUGGGAGGCCAAGGCGGCUGGAUUGCUUGAGGCUAGGAGUUCGAGAGCAGCCUGGCCAACAUGGCAAAACCCCGUCUCUACUAAAAAAAACAAAAAAAUUAGCCGGGCACGGCGGCACAUGCCCGAGAUCCCAGCUAUUCGGGAGGCUGAGACACGAGAAUCGCUUGAACCCGGGAGAUGGAGGUUUUGGGGAAAAAAAGAAAAUGUCCUCAGAGUCUGCCCUGCCAUCACCUUGAGAGUGACCUGUGCCCCAGUUUUCUCAUCUGUGUAGUGGGGUUAAGAACAGAACCCACCUCGUAGGUUGAUUAGGCAGGUUCAGUAGGGUGAUAUUUGUAAAGAGCUUGGAACAUGCCAGGUGCAUAAUAACUGUACAUAUGUGUUUGAUAAAUUAAUCAAAAUAAAAUACAAUAUCUGUAAACGAUUUCACAGGAGAGCAAAGCUAGUGCUAAGGCUUUUCCAAAUAGCCUGGAGUGUGUGAGGCUUUUGGAAGCAUGGAGGUCUUUGACAGAGCAUUUAAUUUAUAUGGGGGACGCUUUUUGCGUGCAAAAUUGAUUUGAUAUGCAAAUAAACUGGAGUUGAUUGAAGAUUAUUAACCACAUGCUCUGAAUAGUGGUUGUGUUUGAGAAAAAAACAUCAGUCCUCCCUCCCAAGGGCCUUGUUAAUAAGUCAGGUUUUUCUCCCCGGUCCCUGCCCUCCUCCCUUGCUGGUUUCUCAACACCUAACCAUGCCAGGUCUAUAAAGUAAUUGCAGGUAUAUUUGCAAGGCCGGGGCUGGAUUUGAAUGUACG